Molecule: long non-coding RNA, 1038 nt
Organism: Osmia lignaria (orchard mason bee)
Lineage: Eukaryota; Metazoa; Arthropoda; Insecta; Hymenoptera; Megachilidae
Source: RefSeq, a predicted model, not a curated record
AUUGAUUGCAUUUCAAUCAUUCGAUCAAUUCUUAAAGAACUUGAUAUGUAAAUGAGGCCUGCUAUAGUUGAAGUUGUUAACAGUUCUAGAAUAGACUGUGAGUACUAUCAUUGCGCGGUUCAGUGAUACGAUUCGCGCGUUGUUUUCUAACAUUCUUUGGAGCCGUGUUCCGUGUUAUCGUCAGACAACAUGUUCGUCGAUCGCUGUAUCGAGAUGGUGAAACGACCGUGACGAUGUACUUAGUCGAAUCUCGGACGAGAUAAUAGCCGCCAGUGUAUUACUGGUUUGCUGUGAUUUGUGGCUGUGCCAGAAUCUGCACUUGUUCUGUUAGAUUCCAGGUAUAGUUAUGGAUGACUUGUAUACAAGAGAACAUAUGAUACGAGAUGAUCUGUUUAUGGUUGAUGCUUUGAUAAUUUGUUUUGGUUGAGCUAAAGUGCAGUAGAAUUUGAAUAAAUGCAACCCUGAUGCUUGUAAAUGAAUAUCAUUUGAGUAGCAAUGGAAUUGUUGGAGAGAUUUUGAAUUUAUGCAGAAAUAUUGCAUGAUGAAACUUGUGUUACUCUACUUUUCUGAAGCAUCUUUUUUUUUCUAAAAUAUAAGAUACAACAAAUAUUAAAUCUUCUACGAUUCUGUGUUUUAUUUAAUUUUAUUUGUGAUUUAAUGGUUUCUACUAACAAUUUCAGUUAGUAUGAAUUCCAUCAAGAUGGUUUUGAAACGCAGUGUAUCAAGAAAAAAAUGAAAUCACGUGGUACAAUCUAUAUGUGAUGAAUUUAAGCUAUUCAACACUGGUGAAUCAACUACUCAACAAAGUCAUUAAACUAUGCGACACUAUAUAUCAGCGAACAUAAACAAAUCCUCUACGUUAAAUACAUCAAAUUUUGCAAAUUAUACUGAUAUCAUUGCGGGAGAUAAUAAAUCUGUAUUUACAAACCUUACGAGAUUUGGCGUGUACGACAUUGGAUUUUGAACAUUUGUAGCCAAUAAGGAGCGCGAUAGAUACUGCUGCUAAUAACCCGGUGCUAUUUUUCCAUUGUUUCACUU